Molecule: ribosomal RNA, 460 nt
Filed under: uncultured bacterium
Lineage: Bacteria
Description: partial 16S ribosomal RNA
Rfam family: Bacterial small subunit ribosomal RNA
Source: RNAcentral
CCUACGGGGGGCAGCAGUGAGGAAUAUUGGUCAAUGGACGAGAGUCUGAACCAGCCAAGUAGCGUGAAGGAUGACUGCCCUAUGGGUUGUAAACUUCUUUUAUAUGGGAAUAAAAUGUUCCACGUGUGGGAUUUUGUAUGUACCAUAUGACUAAGGAUCGGCUAACUCCGUGCCAGCAGCCGCGGUAAUACGGAGGAUCCGAGCGUUAUCCGGAUUUAUUGGGUUUAAAGGGAGCGUAGGUGGAUUGUUAAGUCAGCUGUGAAAGUUUGCGGCUCAACCGUAAAAUUGCAGUUGAAACUGGCAGUCUUGAGUACAGUAGAGGUGGGCGGAAUUCGUGGUGUAGCGGUGAAAUGCUUAGAUAUCACGAAGAACUCCGAUUGCGAAGGCAGUUCACUGGACUGCAACUGACACUGAGGCUCGAAAGUGUGGGUAUCAAACAGGAUUAGAUACCCGAGUAGUC